CUCCGGGUGGGGGAGGCUGGGGUUCCAAACCAGGGCAGGGGAAUGGUGGCCCUGCGUGGCUCGUGGACCUCUCUCAGGGACCCCUCUCAGCAGGGGCCGGAAAAGCAGGCCCACACCCAGUGGUCAUUGCAGGAACUUCACUUGAGCUGGUCUGCUUGUGAGCCUGUGGUUUGGAGAGGAGAAGACGCACUUCCCCAUGAGAAAAAGGUGGUCAUCCCCAUGGGCUCCACAGAUGAGGACACCGGCCCUCAG
Molecule: long non-coding RNA, 252 nt
Filed under: Homo sapiens (human)
Lineage: Eukaryota; Metazoa; Chordata; Mammalia; Primates; Hominidae
Description: non-protein coding lnc-BCL11A-1:1
Source: RNAcentral